Molecule: long non-coding RNA, 463 nt
Organism: Jaculus jaculus (lesser Egyptian jerboa)
Lineage: Eukaryota; Metazoa; Chordata; Mammalia; Rodentia; Dipodidae
Exons: 3
Source: RefSeq, a predicted model, not a curated record
AACUUAAUAAAUGCCGGCUGUGGGUUUACAUCAACACGUCUUUUCACCUUCUCUUCCUGAAACGUGGAACUUCCUGAAUGGGACCAGUCACUUGCUAAAACUAUCACUGGGAGAAGUUGAUACCAUGCACUUCCUUUCCUAUUAAGCGAGUUACAACAGGAAAACUGCAAGCCUCCAGCCUCAGAGAAUUCUGACUUGAUGGCUCAUGGAAGGAGAACCAAGUUUAUUGUUUCCUGAGGGAAGAACUUAAUGAAGCUGAAUGGAAACUGCCCUAUUUGGAAACUAUAGCCAGGAACUACACUCCCUUCCUGAAUAUGCCACCAAGACUACUAAGACAUUUAAUAAACCAUGCUCACGGUCGAAAUUUAUGUCUUAACCUCUGUGUGACCUACGUGUAGCAAAAUUAUUUUGACUUAAAAAUUUUUGACCCAUGCUUUUAGUCUUAACCACAUCUUUUCUUCUU